UUUGUUUAUUACAAAAAGGGUGCAUCUAAAUACACACAACUUUUACUAGGUACACACAACACUGAUUUCAAUGUAUUGCACACAUAAUUCGGAAUUCUAUGAAUAAGAGACAGAGAAGAGGAGAUGAGAGAGAGAGGCCAGUACUUUCUGCUUUGGUCAUUGCCUUACAUGGAUGUGAUGUGUCCCCCUCUCUCUUUAUAUACACACACAUAUAUAUCAAAACCCCAUUAAACCUCUCUCUCUCACUGAAAACGUAUCACACAUAUAUUCAUUCACGCGCAUGCCUCUUUUUCCCUAGAUUUUCCUUUGUUUAUUUUUUUGUACAUUUUUUUUAUUAUUUAGGUAA
Long non-coding RNA from Tripterygium wilfordii, 346 nucleotides. RefSeq lists it as uncharacterized. The transcript has 3 exons. The record is from RefSeq and is a predicted model, not a curated record. Lineage: Eukaryota; Viridiplantae; Streptophyta; Magnoliopsida; Celastrales; Celastraceae.